AUUGAACGCUGGCGGCAUGCUUUACACAUGCAAGUCGAGCGGCAGCGCGGGGGCAACCCUGGCGGCGAGCGGCGAACGGGUGAGUAAUGCAUCGGAACGUAUCCUCGAGUGGGGGAUAACCCAGCGAAAGUUGGGCUAAUACCGCAUGAGCUCUGAGGAGGAAAGCGGGGGACCUGCGAGGGCCUCGCGCUGGAGGAGCGGCCGAUGUCCGAUUAGCUAGUUGGUGGGGUAAAGGCUUACCAAGGCGACGAUCGGUAGCUGGUCUAAGAGGAUGAUCAGCCACACUGAGACUGAGACACGGCCCAGACUCCUACGGGAGGCAGCAGUGGGGAAUUUUGGACAAUGGGGGCAACCCUGAUCCAGCCAUGCCGCGUGAGUGAAGAAGGCCUUCGGGUUGUAAAGCUCUUUCGGACGGAACGAAAUGGGCGGGACUAAUACUCCUGUCUGAUGACGGUACCGUAAGAAGAAGCACCGGCUAACUACGUG
RNAcentral lists this ribosomal RNA (486 nucleotides) under uncultured bacterium. Its description in RNAcentral is "partial 16S ribosomal RNA". It matches the Rfam family "Bacterial small subunit ribosomal RNA", at positions 29 to 507 of the family's 1533-position model. The record is from RNAcentral.